GCGUCAGCAGCCGCAGCCGAGCGAGGCCACGGCCGCGGGCAGGAGCAGCUCAGGUGCGGCCCCGCCCUGCUCGCCCGCGGCCCCGCCCCCGCUCAGGUGAGCGGCCCCGCCCCGGCCUAGAAUCUGAGAGCAGUAAGUGUGUCCCAAAGAGAAACAGUCACUAGGGGUGAGCCUGGACCCACAAUGGAGAUUCCCCCGGCAGCCAAGCUGGGUGAGGCCUUCGUGUUUGAGGAUGGGUUGGAGAUGCAGACAAACCUUUUCCCGGAGGAGGACCCGGGGGACCCUUUUCUUCAGGAAAGGGGUUUAGCACAGAUGACUGUCAUCUACAAGGAGAUCCCUCUGGGGGAGCAGGACGAUUAUGAGGGGAAUAUCAGUCUGUGCUCAAGCCCUGUCCAGCAUCAGAGCAUCCCCUCAGGAGACAGACCCCAGGACGAUGAGCCGUCCAGCCCAACCUUCCUCCAGAAAUCAGACCUGAGUAUGUGCCAGAUAACCCACAGCGAGGAAGCGUCUGAAUCCAGAAGAAGAAUAAACGUCAGAGGGAGAAAGUGGAGUUAAACCCAUGAAAAUGUCAGAUGAGCUCUAACAUCAGGCACUUUUAGAAGAAGUAACCGUGUCGCGGUCCAAUCAACUGAAGGAAAAUGGAUCCAAAGUAGACGCGUCAGCAGCCCACCUCGGGCACUGGUGGGGACGGCCAGCUCAGGUGACAGAGCAGAGGGAGGGUCUGGAGGACUCAUCCUGGGUGUGGGGGUGAGGCCCCCUUGUGCUCUCUCAGCCCUCGACGUGGGUUAGCUGAGGGCGGUUCUGGCCAGCAGCUCUUCCAGGAGGUGGAGAUGUGGUCCUGGAGGCCGGCGGACGGUGCAGCCUGGCUCUGGCCCAGCCCGGGCAAAGGCUUACUGCCCACCCAGGGGUAACCCUCCACCAGACCUAGGGCCCCAACCACAGCGUGCCUUGGACAUCAUCGGGGUCCGUCUCUGGUCGGUGCUUUGCAGCCUCCCCUCCACCCUCCAGUGCAAGGGGAUAGAAGGUGAUUCGGUCAGGUCUGGGUUCAAGUUCCAGUUAUGGCCCCUCCCUCAUGACCCCUUCCGUGAGGUGGGCAUAUUGGGACUGGCCACAUUCCCCUAAGGGCUGGUGCAAGGCUCCUGUUCAGAGUGGGACCACGCAUGAAUGUGCUUUGUCGGCUGGCGAUUGAGGAUGGAGACCCACAGUGACCGCUGCCCCACCUGCAGGGGAGGUGCAUCCCUGUCUGGUUCCCGACAUGGCAGGGCCCCCCCUUUCAGCCAGGCUUUCCCUUCCUCCCUCCCUCCAGCUUGUGUCCUGGGUGCGGCGCCCUGGGCAGGACACUUCCUGCACGCUGUCCCCGCAGCGGCAGUGUGUCUGCGUCCUGUCCUUCUCUCUGUCCUCCCCACUGGGGGUUGUUUAAUGAGGACCAUUGUCUGCGUCCUGCCCUGACCAGUUCAGUUGGGCAUCCCCAGAGGUGGGGCUCCGACAGUGGCAUGUUUUUAAAGCUCCCCAGGUGAUUAGAAGGUUCCCCUGCAUAGCAGGCUGUGAGCCCAUGCUGGCUCCCAGGCAGCCCCAGCAUCUCCCAGAUGGCAUCGUCCAGAGCAGAGCUUGAAGGUGGCCAUCCUGUCUCAGACCUCUGCCCACCACCCCAGGGAUGGGCUCAGGCAGUGCCGUGUCUGGCUGGUUGGUAAGCGUUUGUCCCAGGCCUUUGUGUGUCCACGAGGAUCUUUAGUUCUGGCUCCCCGGGCUCCUCAGAGCUAGUGUGGGGAGGACGCAGUCAGAGCUAUUUUGAAGCUUUCUGAGUCUCUGGCUGAAAUCCCACGAACCCAUCAUGGUCACACUAGUUAUUUCAGCUUAUGAGAAGCUCAGCUGGGCAGCUGUGUAUAGUUUAGAUGAAUGAAAAUGGGAAAGCCAUAGUGGUUACUUCUUAAGUGGAACUUGGUAGGCCAGAGAUGUUAAAACGACAGGUCUGUUGGGCUGGGAAGAUCGGCUCUGUCCAGCUCCUCUCUGCUCUGUGAGUCUGUGGAGCAUUGAACCAGCUCUCCGGGCCCCAGCAGAGCCUCUGCAUGAGCAGGUGGACCAGCCCAACCGGGCAGUGCCAGACACUGUCCGCAGGCAGCCUGCACGGAUGGUCUUCGGUCACCAGUGAGAGUACUGACACCCCUGCUCAGUGCAGGUGGGACAUUACCCCCCGCAAGAUCUACCUCCUCACCCCCUGCUGUUCCCGCAUUCGGCCAGCCUUGGCCAGUUGUCUGCUUCCUACCUUUGAUGUCUGUCCCUGUACACUGUGCACCAGCCAAAUUUUUUUUUCAGGCAUCACUUUGCACAUGUCACCACUCUCCUUAAAACCAACCUUCAGGGGUCUUCUGCACGUAAACCCCCAUUUUAGCCAGCCUGGGUUACCCGCGCGAGCAAGCGUUUCGGUGUCCCCACCACGCCCAGAUGCACCCCACUCACGCCCAGCUUCUCAGCUCAUUUAUGCUGUUCUCACAUUUUGAAUAUGCACUUUUUCUCUUCCUCCCCCACAUUCUCCUUUCUUCCUUUUGACUAUGUAACAUGGAGAUUAAGACCCCCUUUCUGAAGGGUUGACAGACUCUCACAAAACCAUGGUCAGACCAGGCAGGUACUUUCUUUGUAGGAAGUGUGAGCAGAACCUUGUUCUUUCAGUUCAAAUUCUUUCACUGAUUUCUUAUGUAUUUUUAUUUUUUUAUUUUUUUUAUUUUUAUUUUUUGCGGUACGCGGGCCUCUCACCGUUGUGGCCUCUCCCGUUGCGGAGCACAGGCUCCAGACACGCAGGCUCAGCGGCCAUGGCUCACGGGCCCAGCCGCUCCGCGGCAUGUGGGAUCUUCCUGGACCGGGGCACGAACCCGCGUCCCCUGCAUCGGCAGGCAGACACUCAACCAUUGCGCCACCAGGGAAGCCCUGUAUUUUAAAAUCUUUUCAUUUAUUUAGGUUUUCAAACAGUGUGAUGUAAUAAGAGAUCAUCUUGGUAAUAUUUUAAUCAUCCUUGAGUUUAGUUGUUUGUUUUUGUUUUAUUGUCUUACAUUUUUUCCUUCUUUUAGUUGUUGAGUGUUGCAAAGCUCCAGUUCUUGGUUCUGUUUACUAAUUGAAUUGUUUGUCAAGUACAUGUAUUCUGCUCUUUUCUUUCUUUUUUUUUUGACUUAAUACUUUACAUUUCUUAAGAUUAUUUAGAUACAGUUAAUCAUUUUUAAUAUUUCUAGUAAAUGGGGGUACUUUAGCCUAUGAUUUUUUUUCUUACAGUUAGAGCUUUUUCUGCACUCCGUAAUGUUGACAUGUGUUGUCUUUUGCUGUUGUCCUUAGGACUUUCCCUUUGGCCCAACUAUUAUUAUUGUUAUUGUUAUUAUUUAAUAUUUCCCAGUGAUGACUGCUGAGGUUAUGGCUUUUACUUCUUAUGGUACGUAGUGGUAUCAGCAUUUCUAAGUGUCCAUAGAACUUCUCUGGGCCUGAAUAUAUUAUCAGUUUUUAUAAGACAUUUGUGUACUCUCAAGAAACGUGUUUUUACUCCAUCAGUUCUAUUUGUUAAAUCAGUUUUUAUGUUACUUUAUUCAAAUCCAUACUCUCUCUAACUUUACUUCAGAGUUCUUAACCUGGGGUCCAAGGACUGCCUGGGAGUCCAUGAGCAUGCAGGGGUUUCAGAGGUCAUGGAUGCCGGGCAUUGAACAAAGCUGUGUGGAUAUGUGCGUGCAUAAAUUAUUCUGGGAGGGGGGUCUGUAGCACUCACUACAUUUUGGAAGGGCUCUGUGACCCCAAAGUAGGUAAGAACACUCAUUUACCUAGUCAAAUCACAGUCUGAUUUUGUGUGUUCUUUUCUUUACGUAUUUCUAUUUUGCUUUAAUUUCUGUUUCUUUUUUAUGUAUGUUGUUGCUUUGUGAGUCGUGCAGUUAUCUUCUUAAGAAAUAGGCAGGGUACAAAUGAUCAAGUAAUUACCAUGUUUGGGGCAUAUAUGUUUAAUAGUGACAUAUCGAAAAACUGUGCCUUUUAGUGCCCUCUUUGCCUCUUUUAAUGCUUCUAGCUUCAACUUCUCUUUUCCAAAUAUCAUAAUGGAAGCCCCUUGCUUUUUUUGAAUUUGCAUUUGCAUGAGAGUUUAUUUAGCUCGGCAUUUUAUUUUUAAAAUUUGUGUACAUAUUUUGCUAUAUAUCUGUAACUUAUAAACAGCAAAUUGUUGG
This is a long non-coding RNA of Phocoena sinus (vaquita), 4187 nucleotides long. Ensembl annotates it as zinc finger protein 70. The record is from Ensembl. Lineage: Eukaryota; Metazoa; Chordata; Mammalia; Artiodactyla; Phocoenidae.